AGGUACUCUCGAGGCGUGUCCACCACAAAACAGCUCUUCGGACACUUGCCUGAUACCCUCUUGCAAUUGUCUGCUACCUUUUCUUCCCUCCUUUUCCACCCCAUAGUGCCCCUCGACAACGCUAAUUGUAUCAUCGUUGAUCG
Non-coding RNA from Caenorhabditis elegans, 143 nucleotides. Lineage: Eukaryota; Metazoa; Nematoda; Chromadorea; Rhabditida; Rhabditidae. The record is from Ensembl.